Molecule: ribosomal RNA, 784 nt
Filed under: Nostocales cyanobacterium PMC 1158.19
Lineage: Bacteria; Bacillati; Cyanobacteriota; Cyanophyceae; Nostocales
Description: bacterial SSU rRNA
Rfam family: Bacterial small subunit ribosomal RNA
Source: RNAcentral
GUGAGUAACGCGUGAGAAUCUAGCUUCAGGUCGGGGACAACAGUUGGAAACGGCUGCUAAUACCGGAUGUGCCGAAAGGUAAAAGGCUUGCUGCCUGAAGAUGAGCUCGCGUCUGAUUAGCUAGUAGGUGUGGUAAGAGCGCACCUAGGCGACGAUCAGUAGCUGGUCUGAGAGGACGAUCAGCCACACUGGGACUGAGACACGGCCCAGACUCCUACGGGAGGCAGCAGUGGGGAAUUUUCCGCAAUGGGCGAAAGCCUGACGGAGCAAUACCGCGUGAGGGAGGAAGGCUCUUGGGUUGUAAACCUCUUUUCUCAAGGAAGAAUACAAUGACGGUACUUGAGGAAUAAGCAUCGGCUAACUCCGUGCCAGCAGCCGCGGUAAUACGGAGGAUGCAAGCGUUAUCCGGAAUGAUUGGGCGUAAAGCGUCCGCAGGUGGCAAUGAAAGUCUGCUGUUAAAGAGUGAGGCUCAACCUCAUAAAAGCGGUGGAAACUACAUAGCUAGAGUACGUUCGGGGCAGAGGGAAUUCCUGGUGUAGCGGUGAAAUGCGUAGAGAUCAGGAAGAACACCGGUGGCGAAAGCGCUCUGCUAGGCCUGUACUGACACUGAGGGACGAAAGCUAGGGGAGCGAAUGGGAUUAGAUACCCCAGUAGUCCUAGCCGUAAACGAUGGAUACUAGGCGUGGCUUGUAUCGACCCGAGCCGUGCCGGAGCUAACGCGUUAAGUAUCCCGCCUGGGGAGUACGCACGCAAGUGUGAAACUCAAAGGAAUUGACGGGGGCCC